GCGGAGGGAUCAUUAAUGAAUGGCCUCUGUGCCUUCAACCUUACAAACCUGUGGAAGCUAUAUGUGCUUCGGCGCUCAGGCGUCGUUUUUAUGCUACAAGUCAGUCUUUGUGUCUGAAUCAAACAAAAGAAAUAAAACUUUCAACAAAGGAUCUCUUGGCUCUCGCAUCGAUGAAGAACGCAGCGAAGCGCGAAAUGUAGUGUGAAUCGCAGAACAUUGUGAAUCAUCGAAUCUUUGAACGCACAUUGCGCCUCUAGUAACUUGGAGGCAUGCCUGUCUGAGCGUCAUUUAAAACCAUAAACCUGAAUGGGUUUGUAUUGGGCAUCGCCGCACGGCGUAGCCUCAAAGACAUUGGUCUUGAACGCGGACGGGCUCCUUUAGGACAGACCGUGUGAGGACUUUAAACAUCUGACUUGACCUCAGAUCAGGUAGGACUACCGCCUGAACUUAAGCAUAUCAAUA
RNAcentral lists this ribosomal RNA (462 nucleotides) under fungal sp. J17. RNAcentral describes it as "eukaryotic LSU rRNA". The stretch from base 136 to 287 matches the Rfam family "5.8S ribosomal RNA". The record is from RNAcentral. Lineage: Eukaryota; Fungi.